AAUCAACGCUGGCGGCGUGCCUCAGACAUGCAAGUCGAACGCGAAAGUCCCCCUUCGGGGGGACAAGUAGAGUGGCGCACGGGUGAGUAACACGUAGGUAAUCUACCUUUGGAUGGGGAAUAACACCGGAACGGUUGCUAAUACCGCAUAAUGCAGCGGCACCUAAUGGUGACAGUUGUUAAAGCGGGGGAUCGAAAGACCUCGCGUCUAAAGAGGAGCCUGCGGCGGAUUAGCUAGUUGGUAAGAAUGGCUUACCAAGGCUACGAUCCGUAACCGGCCUGAGAAGGCGGUCGGUCACGAC
This 301-nucleotide ribosomal RNA is filed under the name uncultured bacterium. Its description in RNAcentral is "bacterial SSU rRNA". It matches the Rfam family "Bacterial small subunit ribosomal RNA", at positions 32 to 314 of the family's 1533-position model. The record is from RNAcentral.